CUGACCUCCAGGCUCCAAGCCACAUCAUGCCAGGCCAACCCCAGGACCCAGGCUGCUCAUAGCUGCCCCAGUUUCUUCAGGAAUCACAAACCAGCAGGACAAGAUAUACAAAAGAGCCAUUGCACAGAGCUAAAGAAGCACAAAACUAAAACUGAAUUGUAUCAAAGAGCACACAGAUCAAAAAAGAAGAAAC
Molecule: long non-coding RNA, 193 nt
Filed under: Monodelphis domestica (gray short-tailed opossum)
Lineage: Eukaryota; Metazoa; Chordata; Mammalia; Didelphimorphia; Didelphidae
Description: lncRNA (ENSMODG00000037393.1)
Source: RNAcentral